ACAAACUUGGUCAUUUAGAGGAAGUAAAAGUCGUAACAAGGUUUCCGUAGGUGAACCUGCGGAAGGAUCAUUACUGAGGUUACCGGGGGCGAGAUUUAGGUGGCUUGCUGCUGGCGCCCUUGGGGCGUAUGUGCACGGCCGUCUGACUCGCCUUCGUUCCUUCUAUCAACCCCUGUGCACUAUAUUGGGAUUAGAGAGAAGCGCGUCGUUUAGUGUAUUUAACCUAGUAUUUGUGGGUCCUGCCCUCGGAGAAAGGUUAAUCUGUGAUCGGCGACGCGUGGUACCUCGACGUCCUUUUUAAUCACAAACCACUAUACAUGUCUUGUCAGAAUGUUCAGUCCUUAGUUGGACGCUAAAUGUAAUACAACUUUCAACAACGGAUCUCUUGGCUCUCGCAUCGAUGAAGAACGCAGC
This 414-nucleotide unclassified non-coding RNA is filed under the name uncultured fungus. Its description in RNAcentral is "partial contains small subunit ribosomal RNA, internal transcribed spacer 1, and 5.8S ribosomal RNA". The stretch from base 1 to 73 matches the Rfam family "Eukaryotic small subunit ribosomal RNA", at positions 1759 to 1831 of the family's 1831-position model. The record is from RNAcentral. Lineage: Eukaryota; Fungi.